GAUGAACGCUAGCUACAGGCUUAACACAUGCAAGUCGAACGAGAUGCGUAUUGGAAAGCUUCGGCCGGAAGAUACGUUAUCUAGUGGCGGACGGGUGAGUAACACGUGGGUAACCUGCCUUAUGGAGGGGGAUAACAGAGAGAAAUCACUGCUAAUACCGCAUAAGCACACAGUACCGCAUGGUACAGGGUGAAAAGAUUUAUCGCCAUAAGAUGGAUCCGCGUCCGAUUAGCUAGUUGGUGAGGUAGAGGCUCACCAAGGCGACGAUCGGUAGCCGGCCUGAGAGGGUGAACGGCCACAUUGGGACUGAGACACGGCCCUUACUCCUACGGGAGGCAGCAGUGGGGAAUAUUGGACAAUGGACCAAGAGUCUGAUCCAGCAAUUCUGUGUGCACGAUGAAGUUUUUCGGAAUGUAAAGUGCUUUCAGUUGGGAAGAAAAAAAUGACGGUACCAACAGAAGAAGUGACGGCUAAAUACGUGCCAGCAGCCGCGGUAAUACGUAUGUCACAAGCGUUAUCCGGAUUUAUUGGGCGUAAAGCGCGUCUAGGUGGUUAUAUAAGUCUGAUGUGAAAAUGCAGGGCUCAACUCUGUAUUGCGUUGGAAACUGUGUAACUAGAGUACUGGAGAGGUAAGCGGAACUACAAGUGUAGAGGUGAAAUUCGUAGAUAUUUGUAGGAAUGCCGAUGGGGAAGCCAGCUUACUGGACAGAUACUGACGCUGAAGCGCGAAAGCGUGGGUAGCAAACAGG
RNAcentral lists this ribosomal RNA (749 nucleotides) under uncultured Streptococcus sp. RNAcentral describes it as "bacterial SSU rRNA". It matches the Rfam family "Bacterial small subunit ribosomal RNA", at positions 28 to 776 of the family's 1533-position model. Lineage: Bacteria; Bacillati; Bacillota; Bacilli; Lactobacillales; Streptococcaceae. The record is from RNAcentral.